This 252-nucleotide ribosomal RNA is filed under the name uncultured bacterium. RNAcentral's name for it is "partial 16S ribosomal RNA". It matches the Rfam family "Bacterial small subunit ribosomal RNA", at positions 525 to 776 of the family's 1533-position model. The record is from RNAcentral.
ACGGAGGGUGCAAGCGUUAUCCGGAUUUAUUGGGUUUAAAGGGUGCGCAGGCGGAAUUUUAAGUCAGUGGUGAAAGCCCAAGGCUCAACCUUGGAACUGCCAUUGAUACUGAAAUUCUUGAGUGUGGUUGAUGUGGGCGGAAUGUGCCAUGUAGCGGUGAAAUGCUUAGAUAUGGCACAGAACACCGAUCGUGAAGACAGCUCACAAAACCAUUACUGACGCUCAGGCACGAAAGCGUGGGGAUCAAACAGG